Ictalurus punctatus (channel catfish) is the source of this 4180-nucleotide long non-coding RNA. Lineage: Eukaryota; Metazoa; Chordata; Actinopteri; Siluriformes; Ictaluridae. The record is from Ensembl.
AACACACACCAACACACACCAACACACACCAACACACACCAGAACUGGUCCAACACUCACUAACACCACACAACACACUCACUAACACACCAACACACACCAACACACACAGAACUGGUCCAACACUCACUAACACACACCAACACACUCACACACACACCAACACACACCAGAACUGGUCCAACACUCACUAACACACACCAACACACUCACACACACACCAACACACACCAACACACUCACUAACACACACCAGAACACUCACUAACACAGUGUAACCCUGCGUUCACGCUAGCAAGUGACAGUUGCAACAACUUCAUGUUUUGUGCGACAAGCAGCAAUUUAAUUCACAUAGAUAGUCAUAAUUGUACGAACAGCGAUAAAUCCGUACGAUUGGCUCGGCAAAAUUCCUCGGACCAAUAGUACGGCCCGAGUUACAUCGAAUCGGCGCUUAGGUUCCGUUCGACCGCAGAAACACCGCAGUCGUACAUCUUCCUGGGUUUAUUUGUGACAUUAACAGUGACAUUUUAAACAAACAAACAAAACACGGUGAUGUUUAUGAACUUAUCGUUAGAGCAUGUAUACUGCCAUUUCACAUCGGAACCUGAAAAAUGACAGGCCACGCCCACAAAAGGGCUGCAUUGUUUAGCUGACUUCUAGAGUCCCAGACAGUAGUAUGUUGAAGUGAGUGUCCCAGUGGUACCCACACAGUCUGCAUUUCCCAUAGGUUUCCCAGCUAAUAUUACCUACGAGGCAGGGGGCGGAGCUUAGUGACGGUUUGCUUCGCUGGAUUCAAGCAUGCCUUUUAGAGAGGUGCAAAUGAAAUGCGUAAACAUAAUCAAGGGAACGGUGAAUUGAAUUCUGUGGUAUAAAUGAUAUGAUAAAUGACGUGCUAGUGUGUCCCAGUACUUGCGUAGCCAUUUUUGUGUGUUUUUCUUCACAAAAAGAGUGUGUAACGCCGUCCUUACAGUAUGUACAGAUGGGAUCGAGCUAGCAUGGACGCAGAGUAACGCUACGACGUUAAGGGUCUUUCAGACUUUCACACUUGUGCUUAUUUCCAGAUCUGAAGGUCUUUGAACUGGGUGUAACUUUUUUGCACACUAGAGACCCCGAUAUCUGAUCCACCUGAGUUCAAGGCUGAGAAUACCCAAACACACACUAACACUAGCAUACAUACACAAUAAAUAAAUGGUAAAACACACACACACUCACACUGCACCACUGUCUAUCACUGCAAUAGCACACAGAGUGUAAACAGCUUGAUCAUUAUCACCAGCGGAACACCUCCAUCCUUUUCAGCCUGCCGAGGAGGCCGAGUCUGAAAGGUUUUACACCUGGCAUCAACACUAAAUUAACACUAUGUUUAAUGAAACAGUGCUCGUUUAGGGCCUUUAAGUGUCCUGCUCAUAUAUCACUGAUUCAUCAUUUUAAUUACACAUUCAUCAGCAAAACGUUUCUUACAUCACGUUGUGUUUAUAUUUAAUGUCGGGCCUUUAGAUAUAUAUUUAUAUAUUUUCUACUUUGUUUUAGAGGAUGGUUAUAGAGUGUGUAUGCUCUUGUACCCUGCACUUCUUAUUCACUCAUUCAUGUCUAUUGAUAUCUUACGCCAAAUGUAGUGGAUCAGCUGAGACGUGCUCUAUUUGCUUCUUUAAGCUGAGUUCACACAAACAGCAAGCGGCUGGGGAUCAGGUGGUAGAGCGGGUCGUCCAAUAAUCGUAGGGUCGGCGGUUCGAUUCCCGGCCCACGUGACUCCACAUGACUCCACAUACCGGAGUGUCCUUGGGCAAGACACUGAACCCCAAAUUGCUCCCGAUGGCAAGUUAGUGCCUAGCAUGACAGCUCUGCUACCACUGGUGUGUGUGUGUGUGUGUGUGAAUUACAGUGUAAAGUGCUUUGUAGAACCACUAAAGUUAAAAAAGUGCUCCAUGUACCAUUUAUGGCUGCAAGUCGGCAGUCGCUGUACUAUGAAGUCACCAGUAUACGUUCCUACUACUGGUUGCCAUAGUAACCCAUUUAUCAGUGGGUAACUAUCAUUCCACUUUUGACAUCAAACCGCUAAAAAGAAACAUUCUGGAGGGUGAGCGUUUGUAUACAAAAUACAUCAGUGUAUACUGUAUAUGCAUCAUAUCCUACGAGAUGAAGGUGAAGCAGUGUGUGUGCCUUAGCACGUUUAAAGCAAAAUAAUAGCUAGCGAGCACAGGAGGCUACGAAUCACGUCAUAUUUGAAACUUUUCUCAACUUUAUCACGUCGCCAGACACACCCACGUCUAGUCCCCGGCAGUCGCUGUCGCCGGAAGUCGCGAGCUUGUGUGAUGGUACCUUUCGUUUUUGCUCUGCAGCACUGUGACUAUGCAGUUCGCACCACGCUUGCAUGUAUUACUUGUUAUCUACUUCAUCCAUAUAGCUCCAGUGCAAACUACGAGGCUGACGCGUUCGUGUUGUCCGAUCGGCCACGUCUGCGGUACGGCCGGACAUCGUACACGUUUUACGUUUCGUUUCUGCCAGAAUUAUUCUUCUAAAUGCAUGUAUCAUUUCAUCGCCACGAUCCUCUUUUAAGUGACAAGAGAUCAAUCGUCUGCUGAGGCUGGUUCAUUCUGCACCUUCAUCGUCCACCGCAUCAGCAGAAAACACUGUAGUUCUCGUAAACACCACCAAACAAGACGGAGGAAUAACACCAGCAUGUCCACACCAUCAUCACCACCCUGUCUUUAAUAGAGGAGCAGGUACAUAUACUGUUCUAUUUCUUAUUUUGUCAUUCCUUACAGUAUCUGUCCUGCGUCAGGUGUCCACGCCGCCAGCAGCUGGUCCGCCCUUUUUAUUUGUGUCAUCACACAACUGCAAUAAGCGUGUGGGUCUGUGACAGGGUGGACACGCAGUUUAUUCUCUCUCCGGCGAAUCGAUCGGCCUGUGAUUAUUCGACCUUUCGUCCGUGCGCUACGAGUUGAUGAUUAGCGAUAAGGGAAGGAAAAUGAAACAGCAGUGUAUUAGUGCGUCGCGAUAGCCGAAAGGAAGUCUAAGGCGAUCGUUAUGUAAUAAGUUAUAGACUAGACGCUCGUUUAGCGCCUCGGAGCGCUAAUCUGUGACCAAACAUUCACACCGUCGUUCAGCUGCACUCUUCUCACCAGAAUCGACCCGAUAAUAACGCAAGGCGAGCUGACAAAGAGACGACAUUCAUUUCACACUGCAAUAGAUUCUACCGACGGCGGAAUAAUUCACAGGUUCGAGCGUUAAAGCGUUGACGGUUUUAUUUUGUACCAGAAUGUUUGAUUUGAUUCGAGACUGUGAUCAUGACAAUAAAAGAAUUUGUAAAGGAUCUUGUAAAAUAUUUCCAGGUUGUUAAUAGAAUUUGAGCUUGUAAAGAGAUAUUCAUGACAAAUAUUUAAGCUUGUAAAAAGUUUUUUUUUCUCCUUUUUUUUAAGUUGGAAAGGGAUUUAGAACUUUAAAAAAAAAAAAAAAAAAGGCUUGUAAAACGAUUACAGAUGUAUUAAAACCUGCAGUUGUUUUCAGACUGUCAUUCGUUUUUUCCUAAAUCAUCAUCAGAGACAUCAGAGGUGAUGAACAGAAAUGUCAUCAUGCACACAUCUCUGCUUCUUCUGUGUCCCAAUCAGAAGGACUUUCUAACACUGUCCAAUCAGGAGAUGAGUCUGAAGAUCCAGAGACUGGAGGAAAAGCCUUCUCUGGCAUGCGGAGAACCAGGUCUGUUUGUGACUGCCAGAUACACCAUGGAGCAAAGUUAGCUGAGGUGGAACAUAGGUGUGGUUCCUCACACGGGGCACUGGUAAUGUAAGUGCUGUUUCUCACAAGAAGUACUAGUAAUGUAGAUGCUGUUCCUCACACCAAUGAUGUAGAUGCUGUCCUCAAACCCGUACUGUAGAUGCUGUUCCUCACACCAAUGAUGUAGAUGUUCCUCACACCCAGUAAUGUAAAUGUUCCUCACACCAGUAAUGUAGAUGCUGUUCCUCACACCAAUGAUGUAGAUGUUGUUCCUCACACCAGUAAUGUAGAUGUUCCUCACACCAAUGAUGUAGGGUCCUGUUCCUCACACCAGUAAUGUAGAUGUGUUCCUCACACCAGUAAUGUAGAUGCUGUUCCUCACACCAGUAAUGUAGAUGUUCCUCACACCAGUAAUGUAGAUGUUCCUCACACCCAUAAUGUAGAUGUUCCUCACACCAGUAAUGUA